CAUAGCGACUAUCGUGGCAUAUCAAUAAGCGGAGGAAAAGAAACUAACUAGGAUUCCCUCAGUAACGGCGAGUGAAGCGGGAAGAGCUCAAAUUUGAAAUCUUCAAGGUUUUACCUUGACUAAUUGUAGUCUAAAGAAGUGUUUUCUGUUGAAGUUUUGGUAAAAGUUCUUUGGAAUAGGACAUCAUAGAGGGUGAGAAUCCCGUAUUUGACCAUUUCUUUCAGCUUUGUGAUACACUUUCAAAGAGUCGGAUUGUUUGGGAAUGCAGUCCAAAAUGGGUGGUAAAUUUCAUCUAAAGCUAAAUAUUGGCGAGAGACCGAUAGCGAACAAGUACCGUGAGGGAAAGAUGAAAAGAACUUUGAAAAGAGAGUUAAACAGUACGUGAAAUUGUCAAAAGGGAAGCGUUUGACAUCCAGUGUUGUUUUCUCGAAAAUCAAUUUAAAAUGGCUGGAUGCUAAGUUGCUAAGACUUUAUCAGCUUGUUUCUUAGUUUUCUUGUCUUUUUAAAUGCACUUUUCGUUUAACAAGUCAACAUCAAUUUCUUUUGUUGUAAAAGGGUAUGAGGAAGGUGGCUUUGACUUUCGGAUAAAGUGUUUAUAGCCUUUUAUCUCUGCAGUCGGAGAGAUUGAGGUCUGCAGCGUAGACUCCUUCGGGGUUAGAUACAUUGGUGCUAAGCUAUAGCCUUGUAUAGACAACUUGUUGACUAUGCUCAGUCAUGUAGCUUACUCGCUUAUGCUAUUGUACCUACGCUUAGGAUGUUGAUAUGCAUGACUGAUAU
This 777-nucleotide ribosomal RNA is filed under the name uncultured Neocallimastigales. RNAcentral describes it as "partial large subunit ribosomal RNA". It matches the Rfam family "Eukaryotic large subunit ribosomal RNA", at positions 22 to 644 of the family's 3401-position model. Lineage: Eukaryota; Fungi; Neocallimastigomycota; Neocallimastigomycetes; Neocallimastigales. The record is from RNAcentral.